GGGCGACUGUGCCGCGACUCUCUUAUCCUCUUGUCCGGCGAGCCACCCUCCACUCCGUGGCCAUGCCAUCUACUCCUUACCUGCCUCACCUUAUCCCCUCCUCCCAUCUCUCCAGUCUGCCUCUCAGUGCUCCCGUGCUCCUCUGGCGCCCGCACCUAGAUCUGGCCGCCUAGGGUUCGCUGCCGCCUAAGAUGGUGACUAUGGAGCUCGCCGCCACUGGAUCCGGCGGCCAAGUCCUUGACCAGAUGCCACAGUCAAGGAGGAAGCAGGGUCAAGAAGAGGCGGCGCCGUCCCAGGCUGGUGCGAGAAGCGCGCUGGUCCUCCUUCCGGCCAGUGGCUACCUCGCUCUAGGCCUGCUCCUGGGGUAAUGUUGAGCGACGAUGGCGGCGAAAACCACCUUGGGCACGAAGGAGAAGUAGGGAAGCAUCGAUCCAGAGGCUGCAACUAAUUUCUGGGCUGAUUUGAGCUGCCUCCUUGCCACCACGGCCGAAGGUGUAAGCGGGUGAUGGUGUUGCUAAAACUCAAAGCCACCAAUGCAACUCCCACAACUCGACCAUACCUCAGUCUUGAUAUUCUUCCUUAAUCCCACGUGUUUCUAUUGGAAAGUACUCAGUGGUUAACGGAUUGUUCGUUUCAUGAUGUGCUUAGUGAGAUUGAUAAUUUUUUAGUACGGGUUGAACACGUCUUAGGUUGGUCAGACUAUCCACACACUGGCAUGUAUAUCCAUAUAGUGUUUAUUCCUUAAGCAGGUUGAUAUUUUCAAGUAAUUGCCUUAAUAGCAGAAAAUAGUGUACCGAUGAAUAGAAUAAUAUGAAUAUUGCCCUGUCUAACAUUUCAUCUCUCCAUGCUCUGGCAAGUGCUGCUUCAUCCCUCAAAUUGACUGAUGUAACCAAAUUAAAAUUGUAUGCACACGAGAAAAAAAGAUCGCCAAUAUGCACAUCCCCUGUAACAAAAAAAUGUUUGAGCUGGUAGUAUAUGGUAUUUGAGCAAAAUGUUUUGUAUAGAUAUUAAUAGGUGGAACUCAGCAAUCAACAAUUACUAUAAAACUAUUGGCUGGUUAUAAGUUCAGCAACAUGUAUUCCUCAUUUGUUAGUUAAGCAUAUUGAAAAGUAGUAUCAUGAUUACUUUUGUUCUUUAUAUCUUUUUCGUUCGUGAAAGUAAAGCCUUCCUGCAGAGUGAUCAACUAAUUUUGAUGGUAAUUCACAUAUAUUCUGGUUGCCCAAUUUUGCAGGAAGCCAAUGUACAUGGGAUUUAUGAAAUAUAAAUUUCUGCCUCUAUGCGCCAUGUGAUUUGUUUAGUUUAUUUUUAGACCUGGGAACUUUUAUCAAAUGGAGUUCAAUCCGGCACUGAAACUUUGUUCCAGUAUAUUACUAUAACUCUCUGUUCCGUACAAUCAUUGUUAUUUCAAACAAGACUGACAAUUUUUUAUCAUGGGACAUGUAUUGGUCCUUAAUAAGUGUCAAAUGAACUUCCUCCUUUCCCAGCCAUUGAUGCAAUCCAAAUAUUAAGAUGCACUGUUUAAGUGAACAUGGAUUGCUUAUGUAGGUGCAUACUGAACUACUAACUGCAGUUUCUGAAUUUAUGGAUUGUGUGCAAAGUUUUCAUUGUUUCUGCAGGUACGUUCCUACCUUUCCACAUCCUUGAUUGCAGUCUUACUGUUAUAUAAUUUCCAUUCAAUGUUUACUGCCUAGGUCUAUAUCCUUGGUUGCAUAUUUACCUGGCAAAUUAUAUUUGCAAUGAGUUCUAGAUUAGACUAGAUAUAGACACGAUCAUAUAGUUUCUUGUUGUUGUACUUACACACGAAUUGGUUCAUCAAAGUACUUUGUUAGUAGGCGAGGUCUCCAUUCUUAUUUGUACAUCUUGAAAUGAAAUGGUCAAUGAUCUUAAAUUGUUUACCAUGGACAUAUCUGUAUACAAAUGAGUUGGCAUAGAGGGGCAUCUUUGUCGUCUCACUGCUAAAGUAUUUGUGUUACUCACACACUCAUGUGUUUAGUAUGUAUGUCUAGCUUGCAUAUUUAAACUGAAGAUCCAUUUCUAGUGUGCAUGUUUACAAAUAAACUGUACUAAUUCAAAAACCUGGCAAUUGUUACAUAUACACAUAAGCAUCAUUAAUCAGAGUAGCAGUUGCACAUCAAUACAAAAAAUUCAGGUUUCAGGAAAAUAAGUACAACCAUACAGAACUAGCUUCAGGUUGCAUAAAAAGACCAAAUAAGUUACUAGUGUUUCAGCCUUUUAGUUAAGCAUGGGAGCUAUGUGCACCGGGCUGCCUUACAUUGUAGAACUCUCACAAACAUAAGAGUUUGUAUUUAAUCUUCAUGGUCUGAGAACAUGACCUUCAUCUAAUUUAACCCUGCUAUGGAAAUAGUAGUAUAUUGCUCACAAAUUGUACAAGUUGAAUUUAUAUAGGAAGUAAAAGCAAUACAUUGGGUAAAAUGAGCACAAAAGUAAUGAUUCCAUGGUUCUAGUUGAAAUUGAAGCACGUCGACAAGCUGUACAAUGCAUGAUGCUAUCAUAUUGUGUGAGUCUAAUACGACCAAUUUAGUGAAUUAUUGUUGUUUAGUGGCUUGUGCAUUUGCGCGUGUAAUUGUGUAUGUGCCAAGAUAUUGUUUCAAUUGAUAAGGUGGACUCCCGAGUACAAUUUGUUGAUGCAGUUCCUUUCCUUUUACGAUGUUAGUUGUUUCAUGUUCAUAAUGACUUCUAAUGGUGAACAUCCUCCAGACUGUGCUUUUUUGUCAAGAUAAAAAAAUUGCUACUAUGAAAAGGGGAUGUUGGGUGGUUCUAAAUGUUAAAAUAUUCUGCACAGUGGCACAUUCUAUAAUAUUCCAUAUUUAUAGUCCAUGAUUUUAAACAGUGUACACUAGGAUUGUGGCUUUCAAUGACCACAACCUGUUAUUUGACUUCUUUGUGUUACUGUAGUGCACUAUAUUAUGCAUAUGACAUGAGAACAAACUAUGGAAACCUUCCAAUGAAAAAAAAAUAGAACUAGUUUAUAUCCAUUAAAUAUUGCCGUACAUGCUUCCUGAUAUGAUUGCUUGAACUAGUAGUUGUAGACUCAUAGGUACAUCUCGUUGCUUGUUGAUCUGCCCUAGGACAAAAAAAUUAUCAGCACAUAAACUUCUAGUCUAAGUCCUUUUAUUAUCUAAGUUGCAGGAUACCAAUCAAUAUUUUGUGUUCAUAAUUAUAUCCAAAUUUCCUAGUUUCACGAACACACUUGAUGGUCAUCACUGGUUGUAGAAGUGCUACCGCUGGUUGUUAGUUGGUGGCUGCUAGCGUGCUUGCUCGCUGAUGUCUAUGUUGUAUGGAUCUUCUAUUCUUGAUGGUGUGAUGAUGGCUGAUGCUGCUGCUUAUUCUAUAUGCUUGUGGGUGUGCUUCUGUUGUGUUGAUUUCGUUGUGCUUCUGUUGCUACUGCCUGCUAUUUUUCCAGCUUGUUGUAUUGUUUUGCACUAUAUUUUGCUGCCAUUUUGCUCAUUUUCAUGUGAAUUUACUUGUAUAAAAAAGAUGGCACAAUAUCCCCAUUUGAUGCACAAAAUUUAAAAUCCACCUUUUUGACUUACAGUGUGUUUCUUCUGUAGGAGAGAUAUGCAUGAGGACUAAUAAACAAGUGGAGAGGGUUCGCUCCAACGGGAUGUUUUGUAUAUUUGUACAUUGGGCAUUCACCUCUUAGGUAUCCUUUUGUGAGUCUGAUGUAUGGUCUCUUGGACAAUGAAUCAGAAAUAAUAGUACCACCAAGUUACCUUUUGUGAACAUGAUGUAUGGUGUCUUGGUGAUUAUGUUUUGAACAAAUGAACUAUAUGUAUGUGACAUUUAAUG
RNAcentral lists this ribosomal RNA (3810 nucleotides) under Triticum aestivum (bread wheat). RNAcentral describes it as "partial small subunit ribosomal RNA". The record is from RNAcentral. Lineage: Eukaryota; Viridiplantae; Streptophyta; Magnoliopsida; Poales; Poaceae.